UACAACGAGUCGCAAGACCGCGAGGUUUAGCAAAUCUCUUAAAGCCGUUCUCAGUUCGGAUUGUAGGCUGCAACUCGCCUACAUGAAGUCGGAAUCGCUAGUAAUCGCGGAUCAGCAUGCCGCGGUGAAUACGUUCCCGGGCCUUGUACACACCGCCCGUCACACCAUGAGAGUUUGUAACACCCAAAGCCGGUGGGGUAACCUUUUGGAGCCAGCCGUCUAAGGUGGGACAGAUGAUUGGGGUGAAGUCGUAACAAGGUAUC
Molecule: ribosomal RNA, 263 nt
Filed under: uncultured bacterium
Lineage: Bacteria
Description: partial 16S ribosomal RNA
Rfam family: Bacterial small subunit ribosomal RNA
Source: RNAcentral